RNAcentral lists this ribosomal RNA (449 nucleotides) under uncultured bacterium. RNAcentral's name for it is "partial 16S ribosomal RNA". It matches the Rfam family "Bacterial small subunit ribosomal RNA", at positions 29 to 523 of the family's 1533-position model. The record is from RNAcentral.
AACGAACGCUGGCGGUAUGCCUAACACAUGCAAGUCGAACGAGAUCUUCGGGUCUAGUGGCGCACGGGUGCGUAACGCGUGGGAAUCUGCCCUUUGGUUCGGAAUGACAGUUGGAAACGACUGCUAAUACCGGAUGAUGACGAAAGUCCAAAGAUUUAUCGCCAGAGGAUGAGCCCGCGUAGGAUUAGCUAGUUGGUGUGGUAAAGGCGCACCAAGGCGACGAUCCUUAGCUGGUCUGAGAGGAUGAUCAGCCACACUGGGACUGAGGCACGGCCCAGACUCCUACGGGAGGCAGCAGUGGGGAAUAUUGGACAAUGGGCGAAAGCCUGAUCCAGCAAUGCCGCGUGAGUGAUGAAGGCCUUAGGGUUGUAAAGCUCUUUUACCCGGGAUGAUAACGACAGUACCGGGAGAAUAAGCUCCGGCUAACUCCGUGCCAGCAGCCGCCGUAA